UACGUAGGGGGCAAGCGUUGUCCGGAAUCAUUGGGCGUAAAGCGCGCGUAGGCGGCCCGGUAAGUCCGCUGUGAAAGUCCAGGGCUCAACCCUGGAAUGCCGGUGGAUACUGUCGGGCUAGAGUCCGGAAGAGGCGAGUGGAAUUCCUGGUGUAGCGGUGGAAUGCGCAGAUAUCAGGAAGAACACCAAUGGCGAAAGCAGCUUUCUGGGACGGUACUGACGCUGAGACGCGAAAGCGUGGGGAGCGAACAGG
RNAcentral lists this ribosomal RNA (253 nucleotides) under uncultured bacterium. Its description in RNAcentral is "partial 16S ribosomal RNA". It matches the Rfam family "Bacterial small subunit ribosomal RNA", at positions 524 to 776 of the family's 1533-position model. The record is from RNAcentral.